UACGAACUUCCGGUUGUCCCGGCAGGCCGCCGCUGCCGAAGCCACCCGGCGCAGUCUCAGCCACCGGCUCUCCGCCGGAGAGUCGGCUCUGCGGUUCCAGCGCGCCCAUGGUCGGCGCUGCGGACCGGGAGGCCGGCCCGGCGGCUGGGACGUGCUGAGAGGCCGGCGUGGAGACCAUGCCGACCCCGCGCGGCUGCUCCGGGCCUUGCCACUUCCUGGCUCCGGCCUUCGUGCUGCUGUUGCUGCCCGCGCUGAGCAGGUCCGGGCCGGUACAGUCGACGGUGCAGGAGUCCAAGCCUCUCGAGCCCCGGCCGCGCACGCUGUCACCGCUGCCUCCCGGCCCUACCGCGGCCCAGCCGCGUGGCCAAGCUCAGGCUGAAGCCGCCCAGUCGCCAGGCGCGGAGAACCACAAUGGCAGCAUCCCCGGGGCGGGGUCUGAGGCGGACGGCCUUGAAGGCAAGGCCGGAGAAGGCUCCCUGGGUGGCAGCCUGGCUGUGAGUCCCAAUCCUAGCGACAGGCCCAUGACCCAGCGGGCCCUGACCGUGUUGAUGGUGGUGAGCGCCGCGGUGCUGGUGUACUUCGUGGUCAGGACCGUCAGGAUGAGAAGAAGAAACCGCAAAACUAGGAGAUACGGUGUUUUGGAUACUAACAUAGAGAACAUGGAAUUGACACCUUUAGAACAAGAUGAUGAGGAUGAUGACAACACAUUGUUUGAUGCCAGUCAUCCUAGAAGGUGACUCCGGUGACUUGUAAGUGGUUCACUACUACAUCUAAGAAAGAACCUAAGAUGAGUAUGUGCCUUUAAUGAGAAGACUUCAUCUUUCUACUGAAGAAAAGAGUUUCUAUGUCUAAGGAAUAAGAAGCCACUCUAUCAAGGGAAGGGGAAUUUAAGUUAUAUAUAUUAUGUCAACCUUUAAUUUGUUGUUACUCAAUAAAUAUUGCACCAUUUUGUUAUAUCUUUGUAUGUUUGGAACUGCUGUAUUUAUUAGUGGACUCCAUGUUGUUGGGGACAGACUAUACUGUGCUGGAUUUUCUGUUUGAAAAUUAUUUUUAAAAAUGUUUUCUGCAGAGCUUUUGUCCCUUCCUUUUACCAUGUUAUUGUAACUUGUUUUUUUUUUAUUAAUCAGUUGUCAUUGCUUUCAUUCUGUCAGUGUCAUAAUUUAAAGAACUAUAAGCCACAACUAACUGGUAUGAAUAAAUAAAAUUCUACUAAACUUUUUCCCAUUUUUGCGGGGAAAAAGCCAAUCUAUUCUGUUGUUUUUGAGUUUGUAAAUAGUAAUAAUUGUGCUAAACUAUGUAAAAGAAUAAAUAUGAUUUAAACAUUUUAAGUGGUACAGACAGAAUGUGUUUACAAAAUAAAUACUGCAUAAUUAUA
RNA transcript from Apodemus sylvaticus (European woodmouse), 1375 nucleotides. It is a transcript of the gene named family with sequence similarity 174 member A, with no coding region annotated. The record is from RefSeq and is a predicted model, not a curated record. Lineage: Eukaryota; Metazoa; Chordata; Mammalia; Rodentia; Muridae. The transcript has 4 exons.